UAGGUUGUCGGAUGGUAGCUGGAAUACCUUCCUAAUCAUGCUAUAAGAUGACAGUCUUGUCAGCAAAACAAGGAGCUUAUCCUAUGAUGAUCGUCUUCUAUAGGAUAAAUGGAGCAGGACAGAUCAGAGAGGUUCAUAGACUCGAGUUUUUCUUCAUGGAAAUGGAAAUCUAUUUAUCUCACACUUAAUCCACAUCUUGAAUCCUAAGUGCAUGCCGCUGUGGAUGUCUUCGGCUUGUUUCUUCCUCGUUGCCUUUUGCUUUACUUCCACUUUGAUAUUUUCUUUUGGACUUUUCAUCUAUCUAAUCCCUAAUUGGAUCUCUUUCUAUUCAUGUUUUACCAAAAUUUCUUUGUUCCUGCCAUUUUUAUUAUAUCUUGAAUGGGCUAAGUUUACUCUUAUCUUUACUCAGGGAAAGGAAAAGAGAGCAAGAUGUGACACUGGAAGAACAAAGGAGAAUGAAGUAGUAGAUGCAAAUAAUUGCUGAGAGGCUCUUGGAGCUGCACCGGUGACAUGCUAACAGUUCCUGAUGGUUCGCACAAGGAUUCAUAUGUACCAGAGAAGAAUAACUUAGGAGGUCAGAACGUGUGCUAGCAUAAGAUAGUUGGUAUGGUGAUACUACCUCGCUGAUCCAGCAAGCGAGCCAACGACUUCAUAGUCGAUGCAUUCAUUCUGUUCGAUAUGGCCAGAACGAGAUUUGUUGGAUGUAUAAUUCGUCUCGGCACCAAAUUAAUAGCUCAAAUUAAACACAUAGAACCUGAUUAUAUGGUGAGAAAGGCCUUCGGCCUGACACCAUGUCGGAGUUUAAAUUGCUGCCGAUUCAUUUGUAAGUUUAGUACAUGAGAA
This 843-nucleotide long non-coding RNA is filed under the name Musa acuminata (dwarf banana). RNAcentral's name for it is "long non-coding RNA (MACU_LNC010728)". Lineage: Eukaryota; Viridiplantae; Streptophyta; Magnoliopsida; Zingiberales; Musaceae. The record is from RNAcentral.